Molecule: non-coding RNA, 522 nt
Organism: Catharus ustulatus (Swainson's thrush)
Lineage: Eukaryota; Metazoa; Chordata; Aves; Passeriformes; Turdidae
Source: the annotation of a RefSeq genome assembly
ACAAUCCUGGCUCAGGUUUUUCUGCUCUCUGUUCCCGCAGGGCUCCGGGCGGCCGUGACCCUGCUGGAGUCCGGGGGGGACCUCCAAACCCCCGGGGCAUCGAUGGCUUUGGUGUGCCGUGCCUCUGGAUUCACGUUUGGCAAUAACGGAAUCAUGUGGAUCCGCCAGAGCCCCGGGAAGGGGCUGGAAUGGGUGGCACAGAUCAGCACCGGGGGUCGUUACACAAACUUUGCGCCAUCGGUCAAGGGCCGGUUCUCGAUCUCCAGGGAUGACGGGCAGAGCUCGGUGACGCUGACCAUGAACAACCUCAAGGACGAGGAUUCCGCCGUUUAUUUCUGCGCCAAAGAAUCUGGUGCUAAUGGCAAUCCUUGUGCCUUCACCACCACUGUUGAUCCCCCCGAGCCAUUCGAGCUCUGUUCCACGUUUUUGCCGGAUCCAGAACAUGUCAUAACUCCCGAAAUCGAACCCAGACCCACGGCAGAGCAGAGUCAGGGACCCCCCGAGGCGCUGGAGCCGAGAUGA